This 428-nucleotide ribosomal RNA is filed under the name Bacteroidota bacterium. RNAcentral's name for it is "Bacteroidetes bacterium partial 16S ribosomal RNA". It matches the Rfam family "Bacterial small subunit ribosomal RNA", at positions 355 to 776 of the family's 1533-position model. Lineage: Bacteria; Pseudomonadati; Bacteroidota. The record is from RNAcentral.
UAGGGAAUCUUCCGCAAUGGGCGAAAGCCUGACGGAGCAACGCCGCGUGAGUGAUGAAGGUCUUCGGAUCGUAAAACUCUGUUAUUAGGGAAGAACAAAUGUGUAAGUAACUAUGCACGUCUUGACGGUACCUAAUCAGAAAGCCACGGCUAACUACGUGCCAGCAGCCGCGGUAAUACGUAGGUGGCAAGCGUUAUCCGGAAUUAUUGGGCGUAAAGCGCGCGUAGGCGGUUAGAAAAGUCUGAAGUGAAAGGCAGUGGCUCAACCAUUGUAGGCUUUGGAAACUGUUUAACUGGAGUGCAGAAGGGGAGAGUGGAAUUCCAUGUGUAGCGGUGAAAUGCGUAGAUAUAUGGAGGAACACCGGUGGCGAAAGCGGCUCUCUGGUCUGUAACUGACGCUGAGGCUCGAAAGCGUGGGGAGCGAACAGG